Long non-coding RNA from Drosophila obscura, 544 nucleotides. RefSeq lists it as uncharacterized. NCBI's taxonomy places the organism in Eukaryota, Metazoa, Arthropoda, Insecta, Diptera, Drosophilidae. The transcript has 3 exons. The record is from RefSeq and is a predicted model, not a curated record.
UCCAUAGAUUUCCCUCUCUCCAUAUUUUUAGUUUUCUCUACCUGCAUUCGACCCUAACUCUUCUACUCUCGCGCAUUUCGUCUGAGGGGAGAAAAACCGAUUAUUUGGUGCAAUCUUUUGUUGCGAGCGGCUGUGAUUUUUUUGAGUUGAGCGUCUUUUUACAUGUUUAUUCCUUUUAAAAGUGGGUUUUCAGUGUUUUUAAAGUCAGGUAAGUGGAUUCAGUGAUUACAGUGCGCGUUGUUAGUUAAAUUAAAUUUGUACAUGGGUUUCGCAAGAACAAAUAUGUUUAGAUUCUAGAUCAUUCAAGCGGUGUGGUCCCGUUAACCAUGUGCGUCGCUGCGAGUGUUUGUUUUUGCUCGAGGAAACCCAUAUCAAAACAUUUCUGAAGUCAAAAUCAAAAUAUUAGUCCAGGAGUAAUUGUUUAAAAUGCCUCAAAGGAGCAUUGGUGCUUAUUAACUUGAUCGAGUCAGUUAAGGAAGGCCCUACAGAUAAUUAAAAAUAAUUAAAUCAAUGAAAAAUCUAGAAAAUCUGUGUAAAAUAAAUA